Gasterosteus aculeatus aculeatus (three-spined stickleback) is the source of this 1447-nucleotide non-coding RNA. The record is from RefSeq and is a predicted model, not a curated record. Lineage: Eukaryota; Metazoa; Chordata; Actinopteri; Perciformes; Gasterosteidae.
CCGGCUGCCCCAUGUCUCAAGUGGAACUGUCCCUGAGCAAGACACCCAACCCCUAUUUGCUCCCUGGGCAAAACUUUAAAGUGUAAUGUAAGUCUGCUAAAUUAUCUGUAAUGUAAUGUGUGUUUACCAUACCAUUAUACAGGUGGUGGGGGCGACACGUGCACACUCCCACUUGCUGACAGAGAUUGCGUGUCAGAAAAUGUAGGUCCAUCCAUACUCACCUGUAAACCUUGGGAAAACACUAAAUACUGACCGUGUUGUAAAAUAAAUACAUUCUGUACUGCAAACCAGGACACAAUUUGGGGAGAGCGAAAUCCACUUCCUCAAAUGCUUCAUAGAUCAGUACAGGCUUUGUGUGGACCUCCUACUGUACUUACAAUGGAAACGGCCCGGAUCAAUACAAGGAGGGUUUCUUUCAAAGUUGCCACAGUGGAAUUCAACCCUGGUGUCUAAAAUAUUUAAGCUUUCAUCAGAUUGUUUCUUUUGAUUGUUUCACUACCAAUCAGAGUUUGGCACCAACUAAUCUUUUUGGUUACACGUGUACGUCAAAUUGUUUCCGGGAGGUUAAUUGGUUUUCAUUUACUACAUUUAAUCAAUACGAUCAUAGUAUAAAAAGCAAUAACGUAACAUGUAACGUAAAGUCUUGCAUAUUUACUUAUGCAGUUAAUGAGUAUGUGAUAAAGUGCUCUCUGCAUCUACCAGCCGUGGAGCAGGUACAGGCUGUGCUGUGCCGUGUUGUGUUCCUACCUCAAUGACAGGGUCCUGACUGUAUUCUUUUAGUAGGUCCAGAACCACAGCAUCCCCAAUUGCUCCCAGAGCCUCUCCUAACCAAAGAAAAAAGUCAAAGCGCUCAACAGGCGCAUAUACUGUUGCUUGUAGUUCUCAAAUAAAAGUAGGUGUGUUUGUCUGGUGGAGUUGUGGUUUGGAAGUGAUUGGUCUCUUGGCCGAUCCCAGUUUAUGAGCACAAGCAUUCUUACCUGCUUCAUGCCUGACCAUUGGCUCCUGCUGUGUAUCUCGGAGAACUGCUGUUAAAGUGGGUAUGGCAUGUCUGUCUUGCAUCUGUCCAAGGCAGUAAGCCAACUCGUGUUUCAGCAGGGCAGACUCAUCUGUGAAGGCUUUACUGAUCCAUUCUAUAGCUUCAGCACCUAGACCAUGGUAAAGCAUUCAUCAGUUCACAUUCAGUACAUUAACAAGAUAUACACACACACGAUUAAAAAAAUAAUCUCACAUUAAAAAAACCCCAUUAGUCUAGAUUAAAACUAAAUUUCAUAAAUUAACAGGAAAUCACUUUAGAAAGCGUGUAUUUUAGAUAAUGUAUUUUUUUAAACACAAACUUACACGCAUGUGAUCAUCUUCAUCAAACAAAUGUAGUGCGAUCCGCAAAGAAAUACAUCUACGAAUAUGCGUUACACACACACACACACACACACACAUACACACACAUACA